This 319-nucleotide ribosomal RNA is filed under the name uncultured eukaryote. RNAcentral's name for it is "partial 18S ribosomal RNA". It matches the Rfam family "Eukaryotic small subunit ribosomal RNA", at positions 1470 to 1796 of the family's 1831-position model. The record is from RNAcentral.
CCCUUAGAUGUUCUGGGCUGCACGCGUGCUACAAUGGCGUUUCCAGCAAGUCUGCGAACCCGAGAGGGCCAGCGGAUCUUCGAAUUGGCGUCGUGAUCGGGACAGUCGAUUGCAAUUAUUUGACUCAAACGAGGAAUUCCUUGUAAUCGCGAUUCAUCAUAUCGCGCUGAAUACGUCCCUGCCCUUUGUACACACCGCCCGUCGCUCCUACCGAUUGAGCGAUCCGGUAAAUGCUUUGGAUUGGUGCCGGGGCGGCUAGCUGCCGGUCGCUACGAAAUUUUGUGAACCUUAUCGCUUAGAGGAAGGAAAAGUCGUAACA